CCUACGGGAGGCAGCAGUGGGGAAUAUUGGACAAUGGGCGAAAGCCUGAUCCAGCCAUGCCGCGUGUGUGAAGAAGGUCUUCGGAUUGUAAAGCACUUUAAGUUGGGAGGAAGGGCGCUCGGUGAAUACCCAAGCGUCUUGACGUUACCGACAGAAUAAGCACCGGCUAACUUCGUGCCAGCAGCCGCGGUAAUACGAAGGGUGCAAGCGUUAAUCGGAAUUACUGGGCGUAAAGCGCGCGUAGGUGGUUCGGCAAGUUGGAUGUGAAAGCCCCGGGCUCAACCUGGGAACCGCAUCCAAAACUACUGGGCUAGAGUACGGUAGAGGGUGGUGGAAUUUCCUGUGUAGCGGUGAAAUGCGUAGAUAUAGGAAGGAACACCAGUGGCGAAGGCGACCACCUGGACCGAUACUGACACUGAGGUGCGAAAGCGUGGGAGCAAACAGGAUUAGAUACCCUGGUAGUCCACGCCGUAAACGAUGUCGACUAGCCGUUGGGCUCCUUGAGAGCUUAGUGGCGCAGCUAACGCAUUAAGUCGACCGCCUGGGGAGUACGGCCGCAAGGUUAAAACUCAAAUGAAUUGACGGGGGCCCGCACAAGCGGUGNNGCAUGUGGUUUAAUUCGAAGCAACGCGAAGAACCU
RNAcentral lists this ribosomal RNA (640 nucleotides) under uncultured bacterium. RNAcentral describes it as "bacterial SSU rRNA". It matches the Rfam family "Bacterial small subunit ribosomal RNA", at positions 338 to 971 of the family's 1533-position model. The record is from RNAcentral.